GAUGAACGCUGGCGGCGUGCCUAAUACAUGCAAGUCGAGCGAACAGACGAGGAGCUUGUUCCUUUGACGUUAGCGGCGGACGGGUGAGUAACACGUGGAUAACCUACCUAUAAGACUGGGAUAACUUCGGGAAACCGGAGCUAAUACCGGAUAAUAUAUUGAACCGCAUGGUUCAAUAGUGAAAGACGGUUUUGCUGUCACUUAUAGAUGGAUCCGCGCCGCAUUAGCUAGUUGGUAAGGUAACGGCUUACCAAGGCGACGAUGCGUAGCCGAACUGAGAGGGUGAUCGGCCACACUGGAACUGAGACACGGUCCAGACUCCUACGGGAGGCAGCAGUAGGGAAUCUUCCGCAAUGGGCGAAAGCCUGACGGAGCAACGCCGCGUGAGUGAUGAAGGUCUUCGGAUCGUAAAACUCUGUUAUUAGGGAAGAACAAAUGUGUAAGUAACUAUGCACGUCUUGACGGUACCUAAUCAGAAAGCCACGGCUAACUACGUG
This 497-nucleotide ribosomal RNA is filed under the name uncultured bacterium. RNAcentral describes it as "partial 16S ribosomal RNA". It matches the Rfam family "Bacterial small subunit ribosomal RNA", at positions 28 to 507 of the family's 1533-position model. The record is from RNAcentral.